ACUUUACAUAAAAACUCAUUAGACAUACAAAUUUAUAUAAAAAUUUUAUUGAAUACAACAUCAAUACAAACUAAAAAUGAACUUUAAAUUCAUCGUUGCCAUGGCAAUUUUUGUCAUCGUCAGUAUGUUUAAUUUAGUACUAGUCGAUGCACAAACAACAACUGCUCCUCUCACGCCUACCACGGGUACUACGACUACCACGACUUCCCCACCUGCCACAUCAGGCUAACUCCCUUAUCGUAUUUUACAAAUUAUUCAUCAUCGUCAGUAUGUUAAUUUAGCACCUGCCACGUCUGCCACGUCUACUGCACCUUCCUCGUCUACCGCAACAGGCAAAUGCCCAUCUUAUCCACUUAAAUAAUCUACAGGAACAUCAUAACCAACAGCAACUACCUACUUGAUAAUAAUAUUAAUAAGGCUAUAGUUGCAAGUUUGAUACACCUAAGUCAAUAAUUUAGCUUAUUUAUACUUUCUGAUGUACCUAUUUUAUAUCCAAAUACAAUUGUAUGCACACUAAGAUGUUAACUCAUAUUAUAUAUCCAUUAAACUACAAAAUACAUGAGUCAUCCAAAUUUUAAUACGUUAUUGUAACAUUGCACUUAAUAAUCAUGUAUGCUUUC
Molecule: long non-coding RNA, 620 nt
Filed under: Acyrthosiphon pisum (pea aphid)
Lineage: Eukaryota; Metazoa; Arthropoda; Insecta; Hemiptera; Aphididae
Description: uncharacterized LOC100569694
Source: RNAcentral